Molecule: ribosomal RNA, 460 nt
Filed under: uncultured bacterium
Lineage: Bacteria
Description: partial 16S ribosomal RNA
Rfam family: Bacterial small subunit ribosomal RNA
Source: RNAcentral
CCUACGGGUGGCAGCAGUGAGGAAUAUUGGUCAAUGGGCGAGAGCCUGAACCAGCCAAGUCGCGUGAAGGAUGACGGCCCUACGGGUUGUAAACUUCUUUUGUCAGGGAGCAAUUGAGUCCACGUGUGGUCUUAGCGAGAGUACCUGAAGAAAAAGCAUCGGCUAAUUCAGUGCCAGCAGCCGCGGUAAUCCGGAGGAUGCGAGCUUUAUCCGGAUUUAUUGGGUUAAAAGGGUGCGUAGGCGGAAUAUCAAGUCAGCGGUAAAAAUUCGGGGCUCAACCCCGUCGUGCCGUUGAAACUGGUUGUCUUGAGUGGGCGAGAGGUAUGCGGAAUGCGUGGUGUAGCGGUGAAAUGCAUAGAUAUCACGCAGAACUCCGAUUGCGAAGGCAGCAUACCGGCGCCCAACUGACGCUGAAGCACGAAAGCGUGGGUAUCGAACAGGAUUAGAUACCCUAGUAGUC